UGGCUUUUGCUCAUCGUCUAUAUUUUAGAUCUAAGAUACCUUAAUACUCGUGAAAAAAGAAGGAAAGUUUGAUAGCCGAAAAUAGAAAAAAAAAUUACGUAAGCAACGUAAGUUAAUUAAGCAGUAUUUACUGUCAAAGACCAAAAGCUGAUUAAGGAGACUUUUAAAAAUAUUUCCAAUACGCUUGAUUGCGAAGAUAGCUUCACACCUGGAGGGUCAUCUGAUAAGGCAGAUUUUCUUUAUCGUUGGUCAGGCUCCUGAACAGAAUUAAAUUGUACGCUGCACAAAGAAUGUAAAGGGCUUUUAACUGCUUUUGACGCGUUGGAGCCUGGAGACCUAUGUAAAUAUGUUACGCUAAUGAUGGCAGCUUCAUCGUAACCGCGACUUCUGCACUUGAUCAAAUCAAAGUCCUUCUUAUGUCAACUUUGGAUACGUCUCGAGUGGAUACAUAACGCUUCGACACCGUUCAUUUUGAUGCAAGCACGUUUCGACGCUGAACAUUCCAAGGCCAGAGAUGGAUUUUACUAACAUUUCUUUUCAAAUUGUAUCUCUUAUGUAAGUUCAUAUCUUUUUGAAGACUGCUACCAUAAAACUGUAAACAAAA
Hermetia illucens (black soldier fly) is the source of this 604-nucleotide long non-coding RNA. RefSeq lists it as uncharacterized. The record is from RefSeq and is a predicted model, not a curated record. NCBI's taxonomy places the organism in Eukaryota, Metazoa, Arthropoda, Insecta, Diptera, Stratiomyidae. The transcript has 3 exons.